CUGACGGAGCAUGCCGCGUGGAGGAUGAAGCCUGUGGGUCUGUAAACUCCUUUUCUCAGAGGAAGAAGAUCUGACGGUAUCCUGAGGAAUACAGCAUCGGCUAACUCCGUGCCAGCAGCCGCGGUAAUACGGAGGAUGCAAGCGUUAUCCGGAAUGAUUGGGCGUAAAGCGUCUGUAGGUGGUUUCAUAAGUCCACUGUUAAAGAUCAGGGGCUUCAACCUCUCGGGACGGGCAGUGGAAACUAUGAAGCUUGAGUACGGUAGGGGCAGAGGGAAUUCCCGGUGUAGCGGUGAAAUGCGUAGAGAUCGGGAAGAACACCAAUGGCGAAAGCACUCUGCUGGGCCGAAACUGACACUGCAGAGACGAAAGCUAGGGGAGCAGAAUGGGAUUAGAAC
Molecule: ribosomal RNA, 395 nt
Filed under: uncultured Chlorophyta
Lineage: Eukaryota; Viridiplantae; Chlorophyta
Description: bacterial SSU rRNA
Rfam family: Bacterial small subunit ribosomal RNA
Source: RNAcentral